Molecule: ribosomal RNA, 292 nt
Filed under: uncultured bacterium
Lineage: Bacteria
Description: partial 16S ribosomal RNA
Rfam family: Bacterial small subunit ribosomal RNA
Source: RNAcentral
GUGUCAGCAGCCGCGGUAAAACGUAGGAGGCGAGCGUUAUCCGGAUUUACUGGGUGUAAAGCGCGUGCAGGCGGGUUGAUAAGUUGGAUGUGAAAGCUCCUGGCUUAACUGGGAGAGGUCGUUCAAGACUGUCAGCCUUGAGUACAGUAGAGGAAAGUGGAAUUCCGGGUGUAGUGGUGAAAUGCGUAGAUAUCCGGAGGAACACCAGUGGCGAAAGCGGCUUUCUGGACUGUAACUGACGCUCAGACGCGAAAGCUAGGGUAGCAAACGGGAUUAGAAACCCCUGUAGUCC